This 333-nucleotide unclassified non-coding RNA is filed under the name soil metagenome. Its description in RNAcentral is "partial contains 5.8S ribosomal RNA, internal transcribed spacer 2, and large subunit ribosomal RNA". The stretch from base 3 to 120 matches the Rfam family "5.8S ribosomal RNA", at positions 37 to 154 of the family's 154-position model. The record is from RNAcentral.
GGUGAAGAACGCAGCGAAAUGCGAUAAGUAAUGUGAAUUGCAGAAUUCAGUGAAUCAUCGAAUCUUUGAACGCACAUUGCGCCCGCCAGUAUUCUGGCGGGCAUGCCUGUUCGAGCGUCAUUUCAACCAUCAAGCCCUGCUUGCGUUGGGGUCCUGCGGCUGCCCGCAGGCCCUGAAAACCAGUGGCGGGCUCGCUAGUCACACCGAGCGCAGUAAUACAUCUCGCUUUGGGCGUGCGGCGGGUUCUUGCCGUUAAACACCCCCUUUUUACCAAGGUUGACCUCGGAUCAGGUAGGAAUACCCGCUGAACUUAAGCAUAUCAUAAGCGGAGGA